AUUGAACGCUGGCGGCAUGCCUUACACAUGCAAGUCGAACGGCAGCACGGGUGCUUGCACCUGGUGGCGUGUGGCGAACGGGUGAGUAAUACAUCGGAACAUGUCCUGUAGUGGGGGAUAGCCCGGCGAAAGCCGGAUUAAUACCGCAUACGAUCUACGGAUGAAAGCGGGGGACCUUCGGGCCUCGCGCUAUAGGGUUGGCCGAUGGCUGAUUAGCUAGUUGGUGGGGUAAAGGCCUACCAAGGCGACGAUCAGUAGCUGGUCUGAGAGGACGACCAGCCACACUGGGACUGAGGCACGGCCCAGACUCCUACGGGAGGCAGCAGUGGGGAAUUUUGGACAAUGGGCGAAAGCCUGAUCCAGCAAUGCCGCGUGUGUGAAGAAGGCCUUCGGGUUGUAAAGCACUUUUGUCCGGAAAGAAAUCCUUGGCCCUAAUACGGUCGGGGGAUGACGGUACCGGAAGAAUAAGCACCGGCUAACUACGUG
RNAcentral lists this ribosomal RNA (486 nucleotides) under uncultured bacterium. Its description in RNAcentral is "partial 16S ribosomal RNA". It matches the Rfam family "Bacterial small subunit ribosomal RNA", at positions 30 to 507 of the family's 1533-position model. The record is from RNAcentral.